GAAAAAAUAGUGCUUUAUUACAACAAGUAGCUUUACUGUUUUGUAUUUUUUUCUUUCUCUUUCUACAGCAGAAAGAAGAUGGAAUGGAGCUGUGAACAUGAGCAUAAAGGUACUGUAAAAGAAGUCUGUAGAACACAACCCAGAAAGAAGUACGAUUUCAGAGUUGUACAGCAAUGAAGAUCUUGUCUCCAAAGCUACAGGAACUGGCUAAUGUUUGGCCCUACAUCAGUCUCAUCCACCUGCAAUCACUCCUGAAAGGUAGGAAUCCUCUAUAGAUCCCUGCUCUUGGGAAUCUAAUGCCCUCAAAUGAACAACUCAGCAGCCGACAAGCAAGCUGAUAAAGCAUUCCUCGCAGAUACUUAAUGGGUACAUUCUGUAUCUCCGUCUGUAUCUUUCUGUCUGCCUAUCUUUUUUCCCCCCCCCUUAGCAUGCUUGGAAGAAGGUAGGCAAACAAACAAACCAAAAAAAGCCUGAAAGAACUACCUCUUCCCUUCGUGUCUGUAGCUGCUUUCCCAGAAGUAAUUUCCAUUUAUGGAAAUCACUCUCUCUAUUUCCCAAUUCCUC
Molecule: long non-coding RNA, 564 nt
Filed under: Coturnix japonica (Japanese quail)
Lineage: Eukaryota; Metazoa; Chordata; Aves; Galliformes; Phasianidae
Description: lncRNA (ENSCJPG00005003167.1)
Source: RNAcentral